Molecule: long non-coding RNA, 462 nt
Filed under: Rattus norvegicus (Norway rat)
Lineage: Eukaryota; Metazoa; Chordata; Mammalia; Rodentia; Muridae
Description: long non-coding RNA NONRATT021159
Source: RNAcentral
CCCCCCCAUAGACUCAUGUGUUUGAACAAGGUUAUGAGGGUCAGGGAGUGGAAUGUGGUAAUUUGAAUAGGUUUGGCCACCAUAGAAAGUGGCACUAUUAGGUGUGGCCUUAUUGGAGUAGCUGUGGCCUUGAUGGAGGAGGUGUGUCACUCUGCGUGUGGGCUUUGGGGUCUCUCAUGCUCAAGCUCUGCCCAGUGUGGAGUCAGAGCCUCUUUCUGGUUACCUGUGGGGGACAGUCCCCUUCUACUACCUGCAGAUGGAGAUUUAGAACUCUUAGGUCCUCCAGCACUAUGUCUGCCUAGAUGUUGCCAUGUUUCCCACCAUGAUGAUAAUGGACUGAACCUCUGAAACUGUAAGCCAGCCCCAAUAACAUGUUUACCUUUAUAAGAGUUGUCUUGAUCAUGGUGUCUCUUCACAGCAAUGGAACUAAGACACAAGUACACAUAAAUAAAAGUAAAAUAA